This 253-nucleotide ribosomal RNA is filed under the name uncultured bacterium. Its description in RNAcentral is "partial 16S ribosomal RNA". It matches the Rfam family "Bacterial small subunit ribosomal RNA", at positions 524 to 776 of the family's 1533-position model. The record is from RNAcentral.
UACAGAGGCCCCAAGCAUUAUCCGGAAUCACUGGGCGUAAAGGGUGUCCAGGCGGCCCUGUUAGUCUCUUGUAAAAUCCGUGGGCUCAACCUACGGUCCGCAAGGGAAACGGCAGGGCUCGAGGGCGCGAGAGAUAGAGGGAACUCAUGGUGGAGGGGUGAAAUCCGUUGAUAUCAUGGGGAACACCAAAGGCGAAGGCACUCUAUUGGCGCGUUCCUGACGCUCACACACGAAAGCCAGGGUAGCGAACGGG